AUUUGUUGGACUAUACCCUCGGUGGACUCUUUGUAAACAAAGUUUGACCUCACCACUCCUUUACAUUUCUAAGCAUAGGUUCAGAGUUGCGUUGCAAGCACCGUGUAAACGGCAUCUGAACAGAGCAGCUCCGUUCGGCAGGAGUGCACCACAACUGUUUGAUCAAAGUCCUAUAUGGAAAUCCUUUCACAUUUUGAGUACAUGUAAAUAGAAAAUAAUAACAAACCGAUCCUAGCAUAGUUGGAGGUUACGAAUUCCGACAUAGAUACAUGUAUAUUAAUUCCUAACACAGUUGUUCAUUUAUUAUACUUACUCACAAAUAGUAUACAUACUUAUUCCUAACUCA
This is a long non-coding RNA of Juglans microcarpa x Juglans regia, 346 nucleotides long. RefSeq lists it as uncharacterized. The record is from RefSeq and is a predicted model, not a curated record. NCBI's taxonomy places the organism in Eukaryota, Viridiplantae, Streptophyta, Magnoliopsida, Fagales, Juglandaceae. The transcript is spliced from 2 exons.